UGGGGAAUAUUGCACAAUGGGCGCAAGCCUGAUGCAGCCAUGCCGCGUGUAUGAAGAAGGCCUUCGGGUUGUAAAGUACUUUCAGCGGGGAGGAAGGCGAUAAGGUUAAUAACCUUGUCGAUUGACGUUACCCGCAGAAGAAGAACCGGCUAACUCCGUGCCAGCAGCCGCGGUAAUACGGAGGGGGCAAGCGUUAAUCGGAAUUACUGGGCGUAAAGCGCACGCAGGCGGUCUGUCAAGUCGGAUGUGAAAUCCCCGGGCUCAACCUGGGAACUGCAUUCGAAACUGGCAGGCUAGAGUCUUGUAGAGGGGGGUAGAAUUCCAGGUGUAGCGGUGAAAUGCGUAGAGAUCUGGAGGAAUACCGGUGGCGAAGGCGGCCCCCUGGACAAAGACUGACGCUCAGGUGCGAAAGCGUGGGGAGCAAACA
This 427-nucleotide ribosomal RNA is filed under the name uncultured bacterium. Its description in RNAcentral is "partial 16S ribosomal RNA". It matches the Rfam family "Bacterial small subunit ribosomal RNA", at positions 355 to 774 of the family's 1533-position model. The record is from RNAcentral.